Molecule: ribosomal RNA, 499 nt
Filed under: uncultured Glomeromycotina
Lineage: Eukaryota; Fungi; Glomeromycota
Description: partial small subunit ribosomal RNA
Rfam family: Eukaryotic small subunit ribosomal RNA
Source: RNAcentral
CCAAUAGCGUAUAUUAAAGUUGUUGCAGUUAAAAAGCUCGUAGUUGAAUUUCGGGAUCGACAGAUUGGUCGCGCCUUCGGUGUGUACUGGUCUAGUCGGUUUCUCCCUUCUGAUGAACCACGAUGUCAUUAAUUUGGUGUCGUGGGAAGUCAGGACUGUUACUUUGAAAAAAUUAGAGUGUUUAAAGCAGGCAUUAGCCUGAAUACAUUAGCAUGGAAUAAUGAAAUAGGACGUUUGAUCCUAUUUUGUUGGUUUCUAGGAUCGACGUAAUGAUUAAUAGGGAUAGUUGGGGGCAUUAGUAUUCAAUUGUCAGAGGUGAAAUUCUUGGAUUUAUUGAAGACUAACUACUGCGAAAGCAUUUGCCAAGGAUGUUUUCAUUAAUCAAGAACGAAAGUUAGGGGAUCGAAGACGAUCAGAUACCGUCGUAGUCUUAACCAUAAACUAUGCCGACUAGGGAUCGGAUGAUGUUAAUUUUUUAAUGACUCAUUCGGCGCCUUAC